UACAGGGGGGGCAAGCGUUGUUCGGAAUUACUGGGCGUAAAGGGCUCGUAGGCGGCCAACUAAGUCAGACGUGAAAUCCCUCGGCUUAACCGGGGAACUGCAUCUGAUACUGGAUGGCUUGAGUUCGGGAGAGGGAUGCGGAAUUCCAGGUGUAGCGGUGAAAUGCGUAGAUAUCUGGAGGAACACCGGUGGCGAAGGCGGCAUCCUGGACCGACACUGACGCUGAGGAGCGAAAGCCAGGGGAGCAAACGGG
Molecule: ribosomal RNA, 253 nt
Filed under: uncultured bacterium
Lineage: Bacteria
Description: partial 16S ribosomal RNA
Rfam family: Bacterial small subunit ribosomal RNA
Source: RNAcentral